Rhea pennata is the source of this 836-nucleotide long non-coding RNA. RefSeq lists it as uncharacterized. The transcript is spliced from 4 exons. The record is from RefSeq and is a predicted model, not a curated record. NCBI's taxonomy places the organism in Eukaryota, Metazoa, Chordata, Aves, Rheiformes, Rheidae.
UCUAGCAUAGGUCCUGGGGCAGAAUGGAAAAUAAAGCUGGCUCUGACAUCCCCUUUGCGGAGGAAGUGAAAUGCAGCAUCUCUUCUCAGAACUAGGACUGGAGGUGGUGACAUCUCAAGAUUGAGGAGCUCAAGGUACCUUAUGAAGGUUUUAAUAAAUCUUACUUAAUAAAUGUUGACGCUGGAGACCAAGUUAAUAUGUUCUUAGGAUAAAUUGACGAGUCACUGCAACUUAGUUAUUUUGGGCUAGGUGAGCACCAGGGCCUAGCUGAAAAGUAGCUCAUCUAGUAAUUGCUAACAGGCCUUACCUGGGAGGAAGUCAGGCAAGGCUGUUGUUACUGUUUCUCCUUUCAAGACAUUUAUUCCUUCACCAUAGCAUUCUUUUUUUCUUUGUUUUGUAACUUUCUGUAACUUUCUGUUUUGUCCUGUCUUGUCUCUGCCAGAUCUAUUUUAUCAGUUUCUGCCCUCUUCUAUUGAAAUGUUGCUUUGCUGCUUCUGGGACUUCUACACCAUUAUGCUUUCCUGUUCCUGCUGUUCUUUCUACAAAUCCUCUGAAAAGACCCUUAGUUAUGGAAAAGUUCAAGAGAGUAAAUCUGACUGUUUUAUGGUUUUAGCUGGAGCCCCUGCGAGGGAAGACAUAGAGAUUUCUCUUUCAGAAGCACCAAGCAGCUUGCAUGCUGCUCUCUUCAAGUCAGGAUUUCCAACAUUUCUAUUUGCACAAAAGUCAAUAAAACUGGUUGUGUUAUGAACAAGCAAAUCCGAGUGUCCUAUUUUAAAAAAAUCCAUGAUUCUUUGGACUACCCAUUCAACUGAAUUUGGGUCACGAAUUAUACCCAC